GUGAGGAAUAUUGGUCAAUGGGCGAGAGCCUGAACCAGCCAAGUAGCGUGCAGGAUGACGGCCCUAUGGGUUGUAAACUGCUUUUAUACAGGGAUAAAGUGCGCCACGUGUGGCGUUUUGUAGGUACUGUAUGAAUAAGGACCGGCUAAUUCCGUGCCAGCAGCCGCGGUAAUACGGAAGGUCCGGGCGUUAUCCGGAUUUAUUGGGUUUAAAGGGAGCGCAGGCCGACUGGUAAGCGUGACGUGAAAUGUAGCCGCUCAACGGCUGAACUGCGUCGCGAACUGUCAGUCUUGAGUGAGUUCGAUGUUGGCGGAAUUCGUGGUGUAGCGGUGAAAUGCUUAGAUAUCACGAAGAACUCCGAUUGCGAAGGCAGCCAACAAGGCCUUUACUGACGCUAAAGCUCGAAGGUGCGGGUAUCGAACAGG
RNAcentral lists this ribosomal RNA (425 nucleotides) under uncultured rumen bacterium. Its description in RNAcentral is "bacterial SSU rRNA". It matches the Rfam family "Bacterial small subunit ribosomal RNA", at positions 354 to 776 of the family's 1533-position model. The record is from RNAcentral.